GUCUAUGGCCAUACUACCUUGAACAAGCCCAAUUCUGUCUGAUCUCAGAAACUAAGUAGGGUCGGGCCUGGUCAGUACUUGGAUGGGAGACCAUCUAGGAAGACUAGAUGCUGUAGGCA
Molecule: ribosomal RNA, 119 nt
Filed under: Pteropus alecto (black flying fox)
Lineage: Eukaryota; Metazoa; Chordata; Mammalia; Chiroptera; Pteropodidae
Source: RNAcentral